This 411-nucleotide transfer-messenger RNA is filed under the name Bacteroidota (CFB group bacteria). RNAcentral's name for it is "JAHJRJ01 sp018830765 Standard tmRNA". It matches the Rfam family "transfer-messenger RNA". Rfam says of the family: Bacterial tmRNA, also known as 10Sa RNA or SsrA, is named for its dual tRNA and mRNA-like properties. Its role is to liberate the mRNA from a stalled ribosome. The record is from RNAcentral. Lineage: Bacteria; Pseudomonadati. RNAcentral also lists the same sequence under 1 other name.
GGGGAUGACAUGGUUUCGACGGGGAUGAGGAUAGUCAGAACGGCAUUCCGUGCUCUCCGCGUUGCACGACUUGAGCACUAUGUGUUCGGGGUUCCUGAGAAAUCGGGAAUAAAAAGCGGAAAAAACAAUAAGUGCAAACUAUAACUAUGCACUGGCUGCCUAAUUAAAAAAGGGCAACCCAUCCUAUGCAGUUAUGCCUGAUGGAUUGCAAUAGGGUGUCGAAUUAAUCAGGAUCGCUCUUGAAUAUUCUCGGGAUUCAGGAGCUAAAUCCGCCGAAGGCGGACUGAGAUAGUCUGCUCCUGUAGUGUUUACUCCUUAUAGUGCAGACGAAAUCAAAUGAGUAAACUAAGAAUGUAGAAGUUCUGGUGGUCUUCUCUUCGGACCGGGGUUCGAUUCCCCGCAUCUCCACAU